GCCAGACUCCUACGGGAGGCAGCAGUGGGGAAUAUUGGACAAUGGGGGAAACCCUGAUCCAGCGACGCCGCGUGAGUGAAGAAGUAUUUCGGUAUGUAAAGCUCUAUCAGCAGGGAAGAAGAAAUGACGGUACCUGAGUAAGAAGCCCCGGCUAACUACGUGCCAGCAGCCGCGGUAAUACGUAGGGGGCAAGCGUUAUCCGGAUUCACUGGGCGUAAAGGGAGCGCAGGCGGCACGGCAAGUCUGGUGUGAAAACCCGGGGCUCAACCCCGGGACUGCAUUGGAAACUGCCGGGCUGGAGUGUCGGAGGGGUAAGCGGAAUUCCUAGUGUAGCGGUGAAAUGCGUAGAUAUUAGGAGGAACACCAGUGGCGAAGGCGGCUUACUGGACGAUGACUGACGCUGAGGCUCGAAAGCGUGGGGAGCAAACAGGAUUAGAUACCCGCGUAGU
RNAcentral lists this ribosomal RNA (449 nucleotides) under uncultured bacterium. Its description in RNAcentral is "bacterial SSU rRNA". It matches the Rfam family "Bacterial small subunit ribosomal RNA", at positions 330 to 794 of the family's 1533-position model. The record is from RNAcentral.